Molecule: ribosomal RNA, 87 nt
Filed under: Nonomuraea wenchangensis
Lineage: Bacteria; Bacillati; Actinomycetota; Actinomycetes; Streptosporangiales; Streptosporangiaceae
Also listed under: 1 other name
Description: Nonomuraea sp. 210417 Bacterial large subunit ribosomal RNA
Rfam family: Bacterial large subunit ribosomal RNA
Source: Rfam by way of RNAcentral
CGGUAGACGACCGGGUUGAUAGGCCGGAGGUGGAAGCGCGGUAACGUGUGGAGCUGACCGGUACUAAUAGGCCGAGGACUUGACCAC